AGGGUUUGAUCCUGGCUCAGAACGAACGCUGGCGGCAGGCCUAACACAUGCAAGUCGAGCGAACCUUCGGGUUAGCGGCGGACGGGUGAGUAACGCGUGGGAAUAUGCCGUUUGGUACGGAAUAGCCUCUGGAAACGGAGAGUAAUACCGUAUGUGCCCUACGGGGGAAAGAUUUAUCGCCAAACGAUUAGCCCGCGUUGGAUUAGGUAGUUGGUGGGGUAAUGGCCUACCAAGCCGACGAUCCAUAGCUGGUUUGAGAGGAUGAUCAGCCACACUGGGACUGAGACACGGCCCAGACUCCUACGGGAGGCAGCAGUGGGGAAUCUUAGACAAUGGGGGAAACCCUGAUCUAGCCAUGCCGCGUGAGUGACGAAGGCCUUAGGGUCGUAAAGCUCUUUCGCCAGGGAAGAUAAUGACGGUACCUGGUAAAGAAACCCCGGCUAACUCCGUGCCAGCAGCCGCGGUAACACGGAGGGGGUUAGCGUUGUUCGGAAUUACUGGGCGUAAAGCGUACGUAGGCGGACUGGAAAGUUGGGGGUGAAAUCCCAGGGCUCAACCCUGGAACUGCCUCCAAAACUAUCAGUCUAGAGUUCGAGAGAGGUGAGUGGAAUUCCGAGUGUAGAGGUGAAAUUCGUAGAUAUUCGGAGGAACACCAGUGGCGAAGGCGGCUCACUGGCUCGAUACUGACGCUGAGGUACGAAAGUGUGGGGAGCAAACAGGAUUAGAUACCCUGGUAGUCCACACC
Molecule: ribosomal RNA, 745 nt
Filed under: uncultured bacterium
Lineage: Bacteria
Description: bacterial SSU rRNA
Rfam family: Bacterial small subunit ribosomal RNA
Source: RNAcentral